GGCCUACCAUGGNNNUAACGGGUAACGGGGUGUUAGGGCACGACACCGGAGAGGGAGCCUGAGAAACGGCUACCACAUCCAAGGAUGGCAGCAGGCGCGCAAAUUACCCAAUCCCGACACGGGGAGGUAGUGACAAUAAAUAACAAUACGGGGUUCUUUCGGAUCUCGUAAUUGGAAUGAGUACAAUUUAAAUCUCUUAACGAGGAACAAUUGGAGGGCAAGUCUGGUGCCAGCAGCCGCGGUAAUUCCAGCUCCAAUAGCGUAUAUUAAAGUUGUUGUAGUUAAAAAGCUCGUAGUUGAAUUUCGGGAUCAAAUUGUCGGUCGUGCCUCGGUACGUACUGGCGUUAUUGGUUCCUCCCUUCUGAAGAACCACGAUGUCAUUAAUUUGGUGUCGCGGGGAAUCAGGACUGUUACUUCGAAAAAAUUAGAGUGUUUAAAGCAGGCUCGCUCUUGAAUACAUUAGCAUGGAAUAAUGAAAUAGGACGUUUGAUUCUAUUUUGUUGGUUUCUAGGAUCGACGUAAUGAUUAAUAGGGAUAGUUGGGGGCAUUAGUAUUCAAUUGUCAGAGGUGAAAUUCUUGGAUUUAUUGAAGACUAACUACUGCGAAAGCAUUUGCCAAGGAUGUUUUCAUUAAUCAAGAACGAAAGUUAGGGGAUCGAAGACGAUCAGAUACCGUCGUAGUCUUAACCAUAAACUAUGCCGACUAGGGAUCGGAUGAUGUUAAUUUUUUAAUGACUCAUUCGGCGCCUUAUGGGAAACCAAAGUGUUUGGGUUC
Molecule: ribosomal RNA, 774 nt
Filed under: uncultured Glomus
Lineage: Eukaryota; Fungi; Glomeromycota; Glomeromycetes; Glomerales; Glomeraceae
Description: SSU rRNA
Rfam family: Eukaryotic small subunit ribosomal RNA
Source: RNAcentral